CGAGAUAUGGUGCCCUCUAGACAUGGAA
RNAcentral lists this non-coding RNA (28 nucleotides) under Cricetulus griseus (Chinese hamster). The record is from RNAcentral. Lineage: Eukaryota; Metazoa; Chordata; Mammalia; Rodentia; Cricetidae.